RNAcentral lists this ribosomal RNA (1625 nucleotides) under Hypoxylon invadens. RNAcentral describes it as "partial large subunit ribosomal RNA". It matches the Rfam family "Eukaryotic large subunit ribosomal RNA", at positions 113 to 1354 of the family's 3401-position model. The record is from RNAcentral. Lineage: Eukaryota; Fungi; Ascomycota; Sordariomycetes; Xylariales; Hypoxylaceae.
AUUUGAAAUCUGGCCCUCGUGGUCCGAGUUGUAAUUUGUAGAGGAUGCUUUUGGUGCGGUGCCUUCCGAGUUCCCUGGAACGGGACGCCAUAGAGGGUGAGAGCCCCGUACGGUUGGACGCCUACCCUAUAUAUAGCUCCUUCGACGAGUCGAGUAGUUUGGGAAUGCUGCUCUAAAUGGGAGGUAAAUUUCUUCUAAAGCUAAAUACCGGCCAGAGACCGAUAGCGCACAAGUAGAGUGAUCGAAAGAUGAAAAGCACUUUGAAAAGAGGGUUAAAUAGCACGUGAAAUUGUUGAAAGGGAAGCGUUUGCGACCAGACUUUUUCCAGGCGGAUCAUCCGGUGUUCUCACCGGUGCACUUCGCCUGGUUUAGGCCAGCAUCGGUUUCCUUAGGGGGAUAAAGGCCUGGGGAACGUAGCUCUCUAGGGAGUGUUAUAGCCCCUCGCGUAAUACCCCUCGGGGGACCGAGGAUCGCGCUCUGCAAGGAUGCUGGCGUAAUGGUCGUCAACGACCCGUCUUGAAACACGGACCAAGGAGUCGAACAUUUGUGCGAGUGUUUGGGUGUUAAACCCUCACGCGUAAUGAAAGUGAACGGAGGUGAGAGCCCUUACGGGUGCAUCAUCGACCGAUCCUGAUGUCUUCGGAUGGAUUUGAGUAAGAGCAUAACUGUUCGGACCCGAAAGAUGGUGAACUAUGCGUGGAUAGGGUGAAGCCAGAGGAAACUCUGGUGGAGGCUCGCAGCGGUUCUGACGUGCAAAUCGAUCGUCAAAUCUGCGCAUGGGGGCGAAAGACUUAUCGAACCAUUACACCAGCGGUAAAUUUGAUUUACUAGGUGGUUAAGAGGGACCCCGUGAGGGGAUGUUACCCUAGGUCACCGGGUCGUCCUACCCUGUAGCUACCCUGUAGCUGUCUUGGAACGACUGGCCCGGCCGACACCGCUAAAUUGCGGGGACGUCCUAAUACAGGUCGCAGGCUACCGCCGGGCGCUGAAAAGCGUGUUUCCGGCACCAAGAAUAGCGCUCUUGGGUAUGGUAAAAACGCCUGCGAUAGCGGAUGACCUGCAGCCAACCCCGCCUUAGGGGAGAGUUCACUGACUAAACAGCGGUGGGUCAGCGCGCGUCGCUGGCCUAAGACAUAGUCGAUCCAGGCCCUGAAAAGGUGCCUUACCCUAUAGGUGCUACCCUGUAAGUGCAUACCCUAUAGGUAUGCAGCGGAGCUAGUAGCUGGUUACCGCCGAAGUUUCCCUCAGGAUAGCAGUGUUGUAUUCAGUUUUAUGAGGUAAAGCGAAUGAUUAGGGACUCGGGGGCGCUAUUUAGCCUUCAUCCAUUCUCAAACUUUAAAUAUGUAAGAAGCCCUUGUUGCUUAGUUGAACGUGGGCAUUCGAAUGUACCAACACUAGUGGGCCAUUUUUGGUAAGCAGAACUGGCGAUGCGGGAUGAACCGAACGCGGGGUUAAGGUGCCAGAGUGGACGCUCAUCAGACACCACAAAAGGUGUUAGUACAUCUUGACAGCAGGACGGUGGCCAUGGAAGUCGGAAUCCGCUAAGGACUGUGUAACAACUCACCUGCCGAAUGUACUAGCCCUGAAAAUGGAUGGCGCUCAAGCGUCUCACCCAUACCUCGCCC